This 1115-nucleotide long non-coding RNA is filed under the name Sus scrofa (pig). Its description in RNAcentral is "lncRNA (ENSSSCG00070000107.1)". The record is from RNAcentral. Lineage: Eukaryota; Metazoa; Chordata; Mammalia; Artiodactyla; Suidae.
CGUCUUUCUAAAGUUCAUAGUCCUACCUCCUCGCCCCUAACAGCCAGCUUCACAAAUACAGUGCAUCCUGAGUGUGUAUUCCGCAUCUUCAGCGUAAGUAGAAUAUUUUUAGGAAAUCAAACACGUAGCUUGUUUCCUUUGUAAAAAUGACCAGAAUAAAGAGCUCUCUACCUAAUCAGUCCCCUGGCUCCCAAGGAAUGUUAGAACCAAACUUGUGAAAAAUGAACUAAAAUGAGGGACCAUCUGUAGGCUUUUGUGUUGAGGUCUUCUGUUGGCCGCCUGACCGCUCCACUCCAUCGGGUGAGAUAAUCAAACGUAUUGGCUCUUAUUUCAAUUUCCUUAGCUAGUAUUUGGAAAAUAAGCAGCUGAAGAAAAUGUAAAUAUCCUUAUGUGUACUGCUCUUUUGGCUGCAAGUAAUAGAAAACCUACCAGUUGCAUAAACCCUAGGGUAGUGUUGGCUGCAGUUAUCUAAAGCUGCAUAAAAGAUGUAUGCUUUUGUUUUUGUUUUUUUCCACUCAAGGUUAGCAUCUGUAAUUCUUCCUCCACAGUUCUGCUUGGCAUUUUCACAUAACUGUUGAAGACUGAAAGUUCUGAAAACGUGGAGCCACCAGCCGACUUCCCUUUCCGUCUCAUUAGUCGGGGUGGAGGCACAAGGCCAGCUGAGCUACGAGGGAAACAAGGAAAGAGAGAACGACCCACGACACCAGGCGCUGCAGGUCUUCGCACUCUCAGCAGUUCUGACUCUCGCUGCCUGAAACCGGUACAGAAAGAGGAUGUAACAACGUUGAACUUUUUAUGUGAUUUUUUUUGCCUUUGACACAGUUAUUAGAGGUUUUUUUUUUUUUUUUUUUUAAAGCAACAGCGCCCUACGAGGACACCAGGUUUCUAAAUGAUUCAUCUUCUCACAGACCUUGAUAUUCAAUCCAGGUGUAGGAAUAACAGGAUAGCCCUUGGGUUCUAUCCUCAGGGCUUGGAAAGGCUUCAGUGAAAUUCUAUAGCAAAAGGCCCCUGUGCUUACCCUGACUUUCUCUUUGUUCUACUCACUUUUUAUCUCUGAAAAGCAAAGGGAUUUCCUUGGGGGAUUAAGCAGAGGAAACAGCCAAAGGUAGCUAUCG